This 401-nucleotide unclassified non-coding RNA is filed under the name Zea mays. Its description in RNAcentral is "misc RNA Zm00001eb134510". The record is from RNAcentral. Lineage: Eukaryota; Viridiplantae; Streptophyta; Magnoliopsida; Poales; Poaceae.
ACCACGAAGGGGUUGCGCGCGGAGAUGAGGAUGUCGCGCUCCGCCAGGAUGCUCUCCACCGCGUUCUUCCGGAUCAUGUCCGCCUUCCGGAGCACCUUGAUGGCGAACAGGUCGCCGGUCACCCUCUUCUUGGCCAGGAACACGCGGCCGAAGGCGCCGCGGCUGAUGGGCUUGAUGAUCUCGAAGUCCUCGAUGGACGUGCGGUCCUUGAACCUGUUGCCGCUCAGCGUCGCCCGCGAGCUCGCCGUCGUCCCGCCGCCGCUCUCCGUCGUAGUCGGGCCCUCCUCGUCGAUCGGGUGCAGGUGCUGCAGCAGCAGCUGCUGCUGCUCCGCCGCGCCGCCCGUGUCGUCGAUCUGCACGCACAGCUGCAUGAACUUCUCCUGCAGGAGCUUGGCGAUCCU